Molecule: small RNA, 128 nt
Filed under: Marmota monax (woodchuck)
Lineage: Eukaryota; Metazoa; Chordata; Mammalia; Rodentia; Sciuridae
Source: RNAcentral
GCUGGGUGUGGUGGUGCGCACCUGUAAUCCCAGAAGUUCAGGAAACUGAGGCAGGAGAAUCAUGAGUUCAAAGCCAAAGUGCCUUGCAAAAGCAAGGCACUAAGCAACUCAGUGAGACCCUGUCUCUA